Molecule: non-coding RNA, 46 nt
Filed under: Schistosoma mattheei
Lineage: Eukaryota; Metazoa; Platyhelminthes; Trematoda; Strigeidida; Schistosomatidae
Source: RNAcentral
GCACUGCUGAGGACUCCCAUACCAGGACGAAACGGCCGUCCAGUGC